AAGUGCGUGGUGUAACGGUAACAUAAGAGAUUCCAAACCUUUUGAUUGGGGGUUCGAUUCCCUCCGCACUUGCUA
Molecule: transfer RNA, 75 nt
Filed under: Pricia sp.
Lineage: Bacteria; Pseudomonadati; Bacteroidota; Flavobacteriia; Flavobacteriales; Flavobacteriaceae
Also listed under: 1 other name
Description: tRNA-Trp
Rfam family: tRNA
About the family: Transfer RNA (tRNA) molecules are approximately 80 nucleotides in length. Their secondary structure includes four short double-helical elements and three loops (D, anti-codon, and T loops). Further hydrogen bonds mediate the characteristic L-shaped molecular structure. tRNAs have two regions of fundamental functional importance: the anti-codon, which is responsible for specific mRNA codon recognition, and the 3' end, to which the tRNAs corresponding amino acid is attached (by aminoacyl-tRNA synthetases). tRNAs cope with the degeneracy of the genetic code in two manners: having more than one tRNA (with a specific anti-codon) for a particular amino acid; and 'wobble' base-pairing, i.e. permitting non-standard base-pairing at the 3rd anti-codon position.
Source: RNAcentral